This 2030-nucleotide unclassified non-coding RNA is filed under the name Hevea brasiliensis (rubber tree). Lineage: Eukaryota; Viridiplantae; Streptophyta; Magnoliopsida; Malpighiales; Euphorbiaceae. The record is from RNAcentral.
GCUAGACAUCAUGAGGUGCCUCUUCCUUUUAUAUUUGAUAUAAAUCAAUGCAUAAAAAUUAUUGUCAUAACCUUUGCAUAUAUAUGAAACCUACAAUUUUUGAGAACAUAAAGCACAUUUCAAACUAAAUUCAGACAAUAACUUGACAGUGUAUUUGAAAGAGCCUAAAUUGGUCUUUCAAAUACAGUCUGCCAUUAGUUCACAGCACAAGAGAAAAUAAAAAUCUAUGUUUGCUUCGAGCACCAUAUGAAUGCAAAUACUAGCAAUGCAAUAGAUUCUUAUCCUAUUAAAUGAGAGAUGAGGGAUUUUGCUAGAAGACGUCUGGGUGGAAACGACCCGGGAUUGAGCUGCUUUGCUGAGCUUGCUCCAGGUGCAUCGUCAAUGCAUAGUUGUUCACCUCCAAGGCUCUCAACUGUUCCUGGUAUUGGGACACCAACUGCUUCAGAUGCUGCAACUCCUGGCUCCUAUCUUCAAACUCUUUUUGACGCUCAUGCUGAAUAGAUACAGCUCGUUUGAGAAUUGCAUUUUCCUGAAUCAGUGCUUGUACUUGUUCCUUCAACAUCAGAUUUUCCUGCUGAAAACUUUUGGCUGCCUCUGCUCCAGCACGAGCACAGAUAGACUUCUCCAGAACUUCCAGUGCUCUUGAAGCACGAGCUCUAGCAUCAUCCAUGUUGGAGGCACUCAUCAUUUCCCUAACAAAUAGCUCUACCCACUCUGCCCCAUCCAUUGGAAGUUCUGUAGGAGCUGAUGGGUCAUCAGCUGGUGAAGCUUUUGUAUUAGUAGUUGAUCCGCCUGAAACAAAAUGGUUCUGCCCAUUAAAAAACAUAUGGACAUAAAAUACACAGUAUAAUUUUCCUGAUUUUUUCUUUUGGAACUGCAAUUCUCAUGGUCACAUAUUUCAUCAGAUUGAACAUGCAAAUGAAGUGAAUAACAGACAAAGUAGAAAAGAGACUGCAAGGCAAUUGUAUCUGGAUUCAGAAAAAGCAUAGACAAAAAGCAAGUACAAAGGAGGACAAUAUUGAAACACUGUGAAGUCUGGAUACCUCUAUAGUAUAAUAUAAGGGGUGUUUAAGGAUGGGAUGGCCAAAAGACAUGCAAAAGCAUUAAAGCAAUACAGCAGGACAUAAGAGCUUCCUACAUAACUUUGACAGGAAACAAACUUUUGUAGUUGCCAACAUCAUAUAGACAAUAAAAAAGAAAUAACAACAACAAUAAUAAUAAUAAGUUUCCUAUGAGUUUAAACACCACAAGAAAUGCAUCAGAAUUAGUAAUAAAUAAGAAGUAGAGUAUGUAGACCACAAGCAGUAUUACACCUGCUGCAAAUAGUGAACCAUACUGGAACAACUCAUCAGAGUUAUUAGGCAAUGUGGAUAAGUUUUUUUAAGCAAGAAAGAAAAUUUCACCUUUGUGAUCUUGAUUUCUCCUAACCACCAAGGAGAUAAACACCUAAGGUCACAGGAAAAACUACACAAACCUACCUAUUAAUUUACAAUAUUUUUCUUAAUGCAGCACACACACUCAUCCACAAACUUGCAAUUAGACAGAAAUGAUCUCAGCCCAUCCAAAAACAAGCUUGAAACAUUCAAGACAUAUGGCUGAUUCAAAAAAUUUCUCAUGCAUACCUUGUUGUUGAACAUUAGACUCAAGGACAACAUCAGAUCUAACUACAUUAGAGCCCAAGUUGCUAUCAGCAGAACCUAAACGGAGCUCAGUCAAACUUCUGAUAGCUGAAUCUAAAUCAUCGCCACAUUCUUCGAGUGCUCUCUCAAGAAUCUGUUUGUCCAUAUCAGGGAAAAGAGCAACGAGUUUCUCGAUCAAAAGCGAAGAAGAUAGAUUGGAAGAGGGGGAGGAGACAGAAACACCGUUGUAUGACCUUGGAGGAGAGAAACGAACAGGAGAGGAAGAGGAACAGCGGAUUCUCUUGGAAACGGGAGGGCUUGUCACUGUCAAUUCUUCGAAAAAGGAUCUCUUCCCGCACACUAUGGCAGACAUAGUUUCUUUUUCUCCUCUUCUCUUCUUCUUCUUCUUCU